AAGGCAAGAACAAAAAGGGAAAAAAGCAUAGAACAAACCCUAGAGAAGAAAAUCAAGAGAAAAUUCAUUGAAUUUCAAGGAAUUAAGCAAGUAAAGGUAAAAUUUCUUAAUUCUAGCUUGUGAUCUACCUUUCCUAUGCAUUCUUUUUCAAUUACCAUGGUUAAAAUUCAAGAUCUCAUGAAGGAUUCAUGGCUGACCGAAUUUAGGGAGAGAAGAUUUGAUGAUUUAUUUGGUUAGAUUUCAAGGUAUCUUAGUGUUUUUAGUUGUUUGGUGAUGUUUAGCAUGAAAAACAAGCAAGAAAUUUCAUGCCCUUCACCCACACUCCUUGGCUGAAAUUUUCAAGAGAGAAAUUGGAUAAUGGACUUUGAUGAAUUUCAUGCUAUUUAGGUGUUUUUAGUUGUUUUAAGAUGUAAGGUGUAAAAAUCAAGCAUGAAAAUUACAUGUUCUACACUAAACCUUCAAUGGCCGAAUUUUACAAGGAAGAUAUUGAUGAUGGAUUUUUGUGAUAUUACAUAUUAUUUAACUUGUAAUUGAUGACUUGGAGUGUUGGAAGUGGAAUCAAGUUAAUUGGAGUUGAAUUGGAUGUAUUGGCCAAUUAACCGGUGUAUAGAUCGAAUUCUGCCAAUACCAUUUUAUUUCGAUACAUAAUUGAAGCUACGUAGAACACCAUAUUUAGAUAAUAAUCCGAACAUUUCGCAUCCCAUUUCAUGCAUUCAUAUAGAGCCUAAAUUAGUUUUAUAACGGUUUAGUACAAAUAUAGUAAAUUGCUUGUUGUGCAUUAUGUUUAGGUGGUGAAACUUCCGAUAAGGGUAAGGAGAUUGUACCCGAAGACCGGGACUAGGAGUACUUCAACUCCCGAUAUUGUGAGUAACCUUAUUAUCGUCUUAAUUAUCUAAAGUAGUUUUUAUUCGUUUUUGUGAUUUUAUAGAAAAAUGAGUUUAAAUGGUAAAUCCUUAUGUUUUAUAAGUAAAAUGUGAUUAAAUGAAAUGAGUUUUAUAAAUCAUUUUGAAAUUGAAUGAUGAUUUUAGAAAUUGAGUAAUUGGAGACUGUUUGAUUGUGUUGUAAAUUUAUGGUUUGAAUUGAAUGGCUUAUGGUGAUAUUGGCAUGAAUGGCUGAAUUGGAAAUUGUGUUGAAAUUGUAUGAACUAUUUGUUUUGCCUUAACAAGCUGGGUAGUAAUAUAAUUGCCAUGUCAUGCUGUCGAAACUUUUAUUGAUUUGGUGGGAUAUUGAUUAGUCACUGCAGUGGUGGGUUUCUGUGGACCAACCAAUUAGAGAGGAGCACGGUAAACCCAGUUAUAUUUUACCUUGGUACGAGAGGCGCGGAGGGUAUCUCCUAAGGUAAAGCUUUAGAGUUCACUACACGCUAAACCACCACGUGAGGGUGAACUCAGCCAACGCCAAGGAACGACUAUGUUUUCAAACGUAAAAAUGUGUUUUAUGCAUAUAUGAACUUUUCUUUAACAGCCUUGGCGGACUCGGUUGGAUGCCCCGGCCAAGGUAUCCCCGAGAAUGAGUUUUGGCACGAGCCAAAUUUUUAAGAAAUUCAUAAGCCAUGUUGAUUAUUUGAGUGAAAUGAAAUUAUUUUAUUUAGUUGAAAUGAGUUUGAAACGUUAUGAAUCAUAGUACGAUGAACUAUUUUAAGUUGUCUCCAUUUACUCGACUUUAGAUAUUUUAGAUGAUGUUUGUUUACUCACUGAGUUUAUAUAAACUCACCACCCUCCUUUCCACUCAUUCCAGGAUCAGGACAGUCCGUAAAUAGCUGAUUACGUCGAGGGUUAUUAUUGGACUCACCUCCUCAAAAAUUGUAUGUCCACAGCCUUUGUUACCUUUGGUCAUUCAGGGGCCCACACAUCAUUGUAAAUUAAAUUACAUACUCUGGUUAUCUGUGUUACUGUAUGUAUGGAUUUAUUUUGCUUUUACACUACAAAAUUUAUUUAUGCAGAGUUAUAUAAAUAUUGUUUUAUAAGAAAAUAGAAUAUUUCAUUUAAUAUUUUUAUUUUAUUCUAUUAGCUACAAUUACACCCUAAAUGAAUGUUUUAGACAUAAAAACUUGUUUUUAGUUAUGAAAUGUGUAUUUUCCCCUAUAUAUUAUAUUUUUAGUAGGUUUCAAAAUUUUUUAAAAAAAUAACCAAAAUGCCCUUGUGAGAUAAAAAAUAUUUUUUUAUUAUUGUUUUAUUUGAAAAUAGCUUAUAAUCUUUUAAAAUAUGAUAUUUAGUAAUUAUUGCUCAUAGGGGAGGUGCGAAAACUGAUAUUAAGCCUUACGAGGUUUCGGUUGGCAAUUCGGGUAAUGAACAUCUAUCGGGACAUCGCGGAGGUUGUCACGGGCUCGAGAAGAGUACCGGGUUGUGACAUUAACAAAAACAAGUACAUGAAUUUGCAUUAAAAUGUUAUGGGUAAAUGUAUAUAUGUUUGAAUGAAUCACUUGAAAUAUUUUAAUUGAUUUUUCUUCAAAAUGCACACGGGAACAAGCCCUUGAUAAAACAUUUUUUUUUUUGUGUUGUGUUGUGAAAUGUGACUGUGAUGAAUCCAUGUACUCCUUUUAUUAUGUUGAUAUAAGCAUAUAUGUGUUGUGCAUUUAGAGGUUAUAUUGUGUAAUAAAUAUAGUCGUGCAUGUGCACGAUGUGGGGGAGCACAUGCUUAUGAUGACGGGUGCGGGAUUGUGGAUGAUGAUAUUGCUUGUGGGCGAUGUGGGGGAUACACACGAUGGUAUUAGCUGUGGACGAUAUGGGGGAUGCACAUGAUGACUCCAGCUAUGUGCGGUGUGGGAGUGCAUAUGAGCUAGGUGAGGCGGUGGUGGUGUAUAUGCUUAUAUAUAUAUUUAUUAUAUAGAGAGGUUUGGAAUUAAUAUGUGAUUGCAUUGACUGUUGAAACUUGAUUAUUGUCAAAUGUGUUUAAGCUAAUUUUCUUUGCAACAGAAUUGAAUUUAUAUAGCAAUGAAAAUUUCCCCUAACUUCAUCUAGCCAGAUUCUCACUGCAACGAAAAUGAAUCUCGCUGCAGCGAGAAAGUCUCGGGUUGGGGGAGGGUAUGCACUGGCUCUAUUUUCACUACAGUGAGAAUGCAUUCUCGCUACAGCGAAAAACUCUCAAGUGGUUCAAAAUUUUGGUCUGAUCGUUACGGCAAGAAUGCCUUUCCACUGCAGUGAGAAACCUUCUUUUUUGCUUGUUUUGCAUGGACAUUUACUGGAAUUUUCAUUCUUUUCAACUUCAUGGUUUAUCAUGGAUUUUAAAUGCUAAGGAAUUAAAUAAUCAAGGGAUGAAUUAAGAGGCUUUACAAGAAAGUAAACUAAAUUGCAUUGUUUGCAACUAAAGUGCAUCAUGUUUUCAAAACCUCUUUGUAUCGUUGCUUGUUCCCUUCUUAUGUUCACUCACUGAGUUUAUACUCACUGUUUUCAACUUCAUGUUUUUAGAUCAGGAGGCAGUUGGAACCUAGGUCGAGGUGUCCAUGUGGAUUAGUCUUCUUGGUAGGUAUCUCAGCAUUCAAUAGUUGUAUCUUCGCCAAGGUCACUCCGCUGGAAGUCGAGUGUCUUUUUGUUGUGUAUAGAUAAACGCGAUGUAAAUUACUAAGAUAUAUGUCUUAGACAAUAUAUGUAUAUUCUGAUUGGUAAUGCCACUAUGAGUUGGCAAUGAUUAACAUUACUUUUGGUUAAUGUAAAUGCAAG
RNAcentral lists this long non-coding RNA (3659 nucleotides) under Theobroma cacao (cacao). Its description in RNAcentral is "long non-coding RNA (TCAC_LNC001101)". Lineage: Eukaryota; Viridiplantae; Streptophyta; Magnoliopsida; Malvales; Malvaceae. The record is from RNAcentral.